RNAcentral lists this ribosomal RNA (1200 nucleotides) under metagenome. RNAcentral's name for it is "bacterial SSU rRNA". It matches the Rfam family "Archaeal small subunit ribosomal RNA", at positions 242 to 1445 of the family's 1478-position model. The record is from RNAcentral.
UAAUUGUUUUUUAGGUUAUGAUCCGAAUGGGCGAUGUAAGUUGUGGCCCGGAGAAGGGCAUUGAGAUAAGGGUUCUAGCCCUAUGGGGCGUAGUAGUUAUGAAACCUCACUAAUGCGCGAAAGCGCGAGUGGGCCAAGCCGAGUGAUGGGGGAUAAUUCCAUUUGUGGCGGAUCCGUAAUAUGGACCGCUAGAAAGGAGAGGGCAAGGUUGGUGUUAGUUGCUGUGGUAAAAUUAGCUCUUCGAGUGGUGUCCAUGAUUAUUGAGCUUAAAGCGUUCGUAGCCUGCUUGGUAGGUCCCUGCUUAAAUCCGGUCGUUUAAUGGUCGGUUUGGUAGGGAUACCGCCUUGCUUGGGGACGGGAGACGGCGACGGUAUUCCAUAGGUAAGGGUGAGAUUUAAUGAUUUAUGGAGGAUCACCAGUGGUGAAGGUGGUCGUCGAGAACGUGCCCGACGGUGAGGGACGAAACCCAGGGGAGUAAAUUGGAUUAGAUAUCCGAGUAGUUUUGGGUGUAAACGAUGCCCGUUAAGUGUUGCAUUGGCCAUGAGCCAUUGCGGUGCUGUAGCGAAAGUGAUAAACGGGCCGCUUGGGAAGUACGGUUGUAAGAUUGAAAUUUAAAGGAAUUGGCGGGGGAGCACCACAAGGGGUGGAGCUUGCGGUUUAAUUGGAAAUGCUGGAAAACUUACCCGCCCAGACAGCCGAAUGAGAGUUAGAUUGAUGAUUUUGUUUGAUGAGCUGAGAGCUGGUGCAUGGCCAUCGUAAAUUCGUGCCGUGAGGUAUCAGCUUAAGUGCUGUAACGAAUGAGAUCCCUGCCACCUAGUUGCCAGCCGGGAGUAUUGUUCUGACGGGGCACACUAGGGGGACCGCCAGCGAAAAGCUGGAGGAAGGUGGGGGCCACGGUAGGUCAGUAUGCCGCGAUAUGGGCGGGGCCACACGCGUGCUAUAAUGGCAAGGACAAUGUGUUAUAAUAUUGAAAGGUGAAGUUAAUUGUGAAAUUUUGUCGUAGUUGGAAUCGCGGGUUGGAAUUUACCCGCGUGAACCUGGAAUUCCUAGUAUCCGCGUGUUAUUAUCGCGCGGAGAAUACGUCCCUGCUUUUUGUAUAUAUUGCCCGUUGCUCCAUGUGAGCGGCCUUGAGGUGAGGUGUCGUCCAUUGGGCGAUGACGAAUCUUGGGGUCGCAAGUAGGGAGAAGUUGUAAUAAGGUA